Molecule: ribosomal RNA, 429 nt
Filed under: uncultured archaeon
Lineage: Archaea
Description: bacterial SSU rRNA
Rfam family: Archaeal small subunit ribosomal RNA
Source: RNAcentral
UACCAGCUCUCCGAGUGGUAGGGAUGAUUAUUGGGCUUAAAGCGUCCGUAGCCGGCUUAGCAAGUUUCCUGUUAAAUUCAGCGACCUAAUCGUUGAGCCGCGGGAAAUACUACUAGGCUAGGAGGCGGGAGAGGUCGACGGUACUUCUGGGGUAGGGGUGAAAUCCUAUAAUCCCGGGAGGACCACCAGUGGCGAAGGCUGUCGACUAGAACGCGCUCGACGGUGAGGGACGAAAGCUGGGGGAGCGAACCGGAUUAGAUACCCGGGUAGUCCCAGCUGUAAACGAUGCGGGCUAGGUGUUGGGGUGGCUACGUGCCACUUCAGUGCCGCAGGGAAGCCAUUAAGCCCGCCGCCUGGGGAGUACGGCCGCAAGGCUGAAACUUAAAGGAAUUGGCGGGGGAGCACCACAAGGCGUGAAGCUUGUGGUUC